GAGUGCAAUUGAUAGCGAGUUGGACUUCUAAUCCAAAAAUCGUGUGUUCGAAUCCCACCUGAAAUG
Non-coding RNA from Trichonephila clavata, 66 nucleotides. The record is from the annotation of a GenBank genome assembly. NCBI's taxonomy places the organism in Eukaryota, Metazoa, Arthropoda, Arachnida, Araneae, Nephilidae.